AUAUAAUUAAGCGGAGGAACAGAAAAUAACAUUAAUUUCCUGAAUAGUGGCGAACGAAAAGGAAUAAGCGCGAAGUGUAAAUCGAAUUCCCAAUUCGAGUUGUACAUGACUACCAAUUGUACCCGAAACUAGAUGGAGGUGUUUGGAAAAACCCCCCUUUGGCGGUGAAAGGCCGCAACAUCUGUCGGAAGGUCUUAACAUUGGUGGUACGCUGAGUCACAUUCUUUGGGCGUAGAAUGUAAAUAGGGUGGUAACUAUCAUCUAACGCUAAAUACUGCAAGGAGACCGAUAGCGCACAAGUA
RNAcentral lists this ribosomal RNA (302 nucleotides) under uncultured eukaryote. RNAcentral's name for it is "partial large subunit ribosomal RNA". It matches the Rfam family "Eukaryotic large subunit ribosomal RNA", at positions 40 to 350 of the family's 3401-position model. The record is from RNAcentral.